CCCGUCCUACGGGGGGCAGCAGUCGAGAAUCAUUCACAAUGGGGGAAACCCUGAUGGUGCGACGCCGCGUGGGGGAAUGAAGGUCUUCGGAUUGUAACCCCCUGUCCUGUGGGCGCAAAUUAAAAAGAUAGUACCACAAGAGGAAGAGACGGCUAACUCUGUGCCAGCAGCCGCGGUAAUACAGAGGUCUCAAGCGUUGUUCGGCAUCACUGGGCGUAAAGCGUGCGUAGGCUGUUUCGUAAGUCGUGUGUGACAGGCGCGGGCUCAACCCGCGGCCGGCACAUGAUACUGCGAGACUAGAGGAA
Molecule: ribosomal RNA, 305 nt
Filed under: uncultured bacterium
Lineage: Bacteria
Description: bacterial SSU rRNA
Rfam family: Bacterial small subunit ribosomal RNA
Source: RNAcentral